Camelina sativa (false flax) is the source of this 496-nucleotide non-coding RNA. NCBI's taxonomy places the organism in Eukaryota, Viridiplantae, Streptophyta, Magnoliopsida, Brassicales, Brassicaceae. The record is from RefSeq and is a predicted model, not a curated record.
UAGAGAGAGUUGUCUGAUAGAGUUAAAAAAACAAAUUGAACAAUAUAGAUCAGAUUCCAGUAAAAGCAACCAUAUCGGAUUCCCCCAAAAUGGUUCGGAUUUAUCUGAUCAUCUGUCUUUUUGUAAAAAAAAAAUUUCGACUUCCAUGGAUUUUUUUUUGGACAACCGACUUCCAUGGAUAAAUAAGUAUCGGUCUGGAUUCUUAAAAGAUUGAAUCGAUUAUGGAUCUUCUUGUACAGAUGGUAAUUGGCCUGGCAAUUAGAUUGAAGGAGGAGUAUGAACAUAUUGGUUUAUUCAACAACUUUUUCUUUGCAUAAAGUUUUCAAAUGAAAGGUAAGAAAUUAAAUCAAUUUUGGUUUAACACUUUUAUAGUGUUCAUUUUCGUUUAACAAAAACUAAUGUGACAUUUGUUUAUUUGUGAGGUAAUUCUGGUUUUGGACUAAGUUUACACUACCUUACAAAAUGGGAAGUGUCGUAAAGAACAAAUCUAUACACA